GCGGUAGUGGCGGAAUUGGUAGACGCACCAGCUUGAGGGGCUGGCGGUCGAAAGAUCGUGUGAGUUCGAGUCUCUCCUACCGCA
This 84-nucleotide transfer RNA is filed under the name Deltaproteobacteria bacterium. Its description in RNAcentral is "tRNA-Leu". It matches the Rfam family "tRNA". From Rfam's summary of the family: Transfer RNA (tRNA) molecules are approximately 80 nucleotides in length. Their secondary structure includes four short double-helical elements and three loops (D, anti-codon, and T loops). The record is from RNAcentral. Lineage: Bacteria; Pseudomonadati; Myxococcota; Myxococcia.